RNAcentral lists this ribosomal RNA (798 nucleotides) under Triticum aestivum (bread wheat). RNAcentral describes it as "partial small subunit ribosomal RNA". Lineage: Eukaryota; Viridiplantae; Streptophyta; Magnoliopsida; Poales; Poaceae. The record is from RNAcentral.
AUGGAGGGGAGCGGCGGCGGCAAGCACUUCAUCCUCGUCCACGGCCUCUGCCACGGCGCGUGGUGCUGGUACAAGCUGGCGCCGAUGCUCCGCGCCGCGGGGCACCGGGUCACCGCGCUCGACAUGGCCGCGUCCGGCGCGCACCCGGCGCGCAUGGACGAGGUGCCGUCCUUCGAGGACUACUCGCAGCCGCUGCUCGACGCCCUGGCCGCGGCACCGCCCGGCGAGAGGCUGGUCCUGGUCGGGCACAGCCUCGGCGGGCUCAACCUCGCGCUCGCCAUGGAGAGAUUCCCGCGCAAGGUCGCCGCGGCCGUGUUCCUCGCCGCGUGCAUGGCGUGCGCCGGCAGGCACAUGGGCGUCACCAUCGAGGAGUUCUCCAGAAGAACCCGAUCUGAUUUUUUCAUGGAUAGCAAGAGCAUGGUUCUGAACGCUGAUCAAGGUGCUCGGCCUGCAGUCGCGCUUGGCCCCAAAUUGUUGGCAGCGAAAUUGUACGAUCGAAGCUCAGUCGAGGACCUGAUGCUGGCUACGUUGCUGGUGAGACCAGGCUGCCAGUUCGUGGACGACCCGACGAUGAGGGACGAGGCUCUGCUCACCGACGCCAACUACGGGUCGGUGAAGAAGGUGUACGUGGUGCUCAAGGACGAUGCUUCCACCUCCGAGGAGAUGCAGCGCUGGAUGGUCGACCUGAGCCCUGGCACAGAAGCCGAGGAGCUCGCCGGAGCCGACCACAUGGCCAUGUGCUCAAAGCCCAGGGAACUCUGCGAUGUUCUUCUCAGGAUUGCCGACAAGUAUGACUGA